UACGUAGGGUGCAAGCGUUGUCCGGAAUUAUUGGGCGUAAAGAGCUCGUAGGCGGUCUGUCGCGUCGGAUGUGAAAACCCAGGGCUCAACCCUGGGCCUGCAUUCGAUACGGGCAGACUAGAGUUCGGUAGGGGAGACUGGAAUUCCUGGUGUAGCGGUGAAAUGCGCAGAUAUCAGGAGGAACACCGGUGGCGAAGGCGGCGUUCUGGACUGCAACUGACACUGAGGAACGAAAGCCAGGGGAGCAAACGGG
RNAcentral lists this ribosomal RNA (253 nucleotides) under uncultured bacterium. RNAcentral describes it as "partial 16S ribosomal RNA". It matches the Rfam family "Bacterial small subunit ribosomal RNA", at positions 524 to 776 of the family's 1533-position model. The record is from RNAcentral.